AGAGCGAACGCUGGCGGCAGGCCUAACACAUGCAAGUCGAGCGCCCCGCAAGGGGAGCGGCAGACGGGAGAGUAACACGUGGGAACGUACCCUUUGGUUCGGAACAACACAGGGAAACUUGUGCUAAUACCGGAUAAGCCCUUACGGGGAAAGAUUUAUUGCCAAAGGAUCGGCCCGCGUCUGAUUAGCUUGUUGGUGAGGUAACGGCUCACCAAGGCUACGAUCAGUAGCUGGUCUGAGAGGAUGAUCAGCCUCACUGGGACUGAGACACGGCCCAGACUCCUACGGGAGGCAGCAGUGGGGAAUAUUGGGCAAUGGGCGCAAGCCUGAUCCAGCCAUGCCGCGUGGAUGAUGAAGGCCCUAGGGUUGUAAAGUCCUUUCGACGGGGAAGAUAAUGACGGUACCCGUAGAAGAAGCCCCGGCUAACUUCGUGCCAGCAGCCGC
This 444-nucleotide ribosomal RNA is filed under the name uncultured bacterium. RNAcentral's name for it is "SSU rRNA". It matches the Rfam family "Bacterial small subunit ribosomal RNA", at positions 26 to 518 of the family's 1533-position model. The record is from RNAcentral.